AGUGAACGCUGGCGGUAGGCCUAACACAUGCAAGUCGAACGGGAGCACAGUAAGAGCUUGCUCUUACGGGUGGCGAGUGGCGGACGGGUGAGGCAUACAUCGGAAUCUACUUUUUCGGGGGGGAUAACGUAGGGAAACUUACGCUAAUACCGCAUACGACCUACGGGUGAAAGCAGGGGAUCUUCGGACCUUGCGCGAUUGAAUUAGCCGAUGUCGGAUUAGCUAGUUGGCGUGGUAAAGGCCCACCAAGGCGACGCUCCGUAGCUUGUCUGAGAGGAUGAUCAGGCCAACCGGAACUGAGACCCGGUCCAGAAUCCUACGGGAGGCAGCAGGUGGGAAUAUUGGACCAUGGGCGCAAGCCUGAUCCAGCCAUAGCGCGUGGGUGAAGAAGGGCUUCGGGUUGUAAAGCCCUUGUGUUGGGAAAGAAAAGCAGCAGGUUAAUACCCCGCUGUUCUGACGGUACCCAAAGAAUAAGCACCGGCUAACUUCGUG
RNAcentral lists this ribosomal RNA (492 nucleotides) under uncultured bacterium. RNAcentral's name for it is "partial 16S ribosomal RNA". It matches the Rfam family "Bacterial small subunit ribosomal RNA", at positions 29 to 507 of the family's 1533-position model. The record is from RNAcentral.